UACAGGGGGGGCAAGCGUUGUUCGGAAUUACUGGGCGUAAAGGGCUCGUAGGCGGCCAACUAAGUCACACGUGAAAUCCCCAGGCUCAACCUGGGAACUGCGUCUGAUACUGGUUGGCUUGAAUCCGGGAGAGGGAUGCAGAAUUCCAGGUGUAGCGGUGAAAUGCGUAGAUAUCUGGAGGAAUACCGGUGGCGAAGGCGGCAUCCUGGACCGGCAUUGACGCUGAGGAGCGAAAGCCAGGGGAGCAAACGGG
This 253-nucleotide ribosomal RNA is filed under the name uncultured bacterium. Its description in RNAcentral is "partial 16S ribosomal RNA". It matches the Rfam family "Bacterial small subunit ribosomal RNA", at positions 524 to 776 of the family's 1533-position model. The record is from RNAcentral.